AGUCCGCCGCCUCCCUCCGAGCGCAGGACGCUCCGACGCCCGCUUGCCCGCAGGCCACCGCAGCCUAAGGUGUGGGGAAGGCUCCCUCUCUGGAGGAGCAGGUCGGAAGACCUCGGUGCAAAAGCAGGGACCCCCUGGCUGACCCUGUUCUCCCUCUGCAAAAUAAAGAGAGCAGGACAGUUUGGAGGCCUGUGCGUCAUUCCUUCCUCCCUCCAGCCUAUCUUAGACCUGGUGAUUUGUAGGAUCAGCCCCCGACCACAUUACUGGAUGAUAAUUCCUGUCCUGCUGUGGGCAGCAGAGGAAGCCGGGUUUUACUUGAAACCUGCCAGUCUAUUUCUUUUUCAGGAACCCCACCGGUGCAGAACCGUGCCACUGCACCCAUAAGACAGCCCGAGGCUCCUGGCAGACCCUGGGCUCUCCUCUUCAGGAAAACUUAAAAAUGCACUGUAUUGUCUGCCCAUCUGGAUUUUCUUGGGAGAAAGAGCUUGGAAGGAGGGAGAGAGCAAGAUGAUUUCCAUUUUUCCAUUCUUUUGGUUAAUUGUACCAGAUAAGUGACCGGCACCCUAGGGUGUCCUGGGGACUAUUUGUUUCCCACAGCCCACUUCAGAGUCGAGUCAGGGGCUUCUGUGACUCGGAUCAUUAUGGAUGAGAAUAAAUCUGCCCCUCACAAGUAUCCUCUUACAAAGGUGAAUAUUUUUACUAAAGGCAAUUUAUGAUUUUGUCCCAGUGACUGAAAGUGGCAACUCCCUCUGGACUGUGUGAGGGCCAGGGGUGAGAGGGUGACAGCAGGAAGAGGCCACCACCCAAGGACAGCUCUGAGCCGGAAUCCUGGAGGAAACGUUAUUAAUAAACAUCUUCUGGACAUUUGGCAGCCCGUGGAGCUUGCUCCAGCUUAAAGCAAUUAAUUCAGGACACCGACAUCAACUCUCCAGGUCUUUGACAGCUUGGAGCCGAAAUAAAAAUGCUAGUUCUCCGGGGAAGAGGGGAGGAGGGCCCGCUCUUUGCUGGACUGUUUGCUUAUGGGCCCAGCGAGCAACCUUCCCUGCAGAAUGAAAUGCAAGGUCGCACACAACGAACCGGCAGAGAAUAGAAGAUGGGAACGAACAGUUUGAACUAUUUGCUCAGCAGAAGGGCACCACAAUGCUGGGGUAGUGGCUUUCCCAUGCAUCCACUGUCCCUUCUUUGGGAUCUUUUGUUGUCCCGUCUCCUUUGGCCAGAUAAGAACACAGCUGCAGCCUUGUGGCUAAGUAAGGCUUCACUUAUCCCCUUAAAUCUCGGGGUGUCUUUUACUGUACCAGGCAUAGAUCAGUUCUUUCUUUUGACCAGGGGACUGGGAGGGAGGGAAGGAAGAAUUGAGGGGGAGGGAACAGACGGAAGACUCUCACAUUGCUGAUGUCUGGUUCAUGCCUUUCUUUCUCUCCUUUUUAAAUCCAAGCUGGGAUAAGAUGUGAUCUUUGUGGGCCAGUUUUAUUAAAGGGUCAGUGUUUUGUGCCAAAA
Molecule: long non-coding RNA, 1497 nt
Filed under: Mus musculus (house mouse)
Lineage: Eukaryota; Metazoa; Chordata; Mammalia; Rodentia; Muridae
Description: RIKEN cDNA 9030622O22 gene
Source: RNAcentral